UACGGAGGGUGCAAGCGUUGUCCGGAUUUAUUGGGUGUAAAGGGUGCGUAGGCGGUUCUUUAAGUCUGGGGUGAAAGCCCGUUGCUCAACAACGGAACUGCCCUGGAAACUGGAGGACUUGAGUACAGACGAGGGUGGCGGAAUGGAUGCUGUAGCGGUGAAAUGCAUAGAUAGCAUCCAGAACCCCGAUUGCGAAGGCAGCUUACUAGGCUGUAACUGACGCUGAGGCACGAAAGCGUGGGGAGCGAACAGG
RNAcentral lists this ribosomal RNA (253 nucleotides) under uncultured bacterium. RNAcentral's name for it is "partial 16S ribosomal RNA". It matches the Rfam family "Bacterial small subunit ribosomal RNA", at positions 524 to 776 of the family's 1533-position model. The record is from RNAcentral.